CAGUAGCCGCGGGAAUACGUAGGUGGCAAGCGUUGUCCGGAAUUAUUGGGCGUAAAGGGCUCGCAGGCGGUUUCUUAAGUCUGAUGUGAAAGCCCCCGGCUCAACCGGGGAGGGUCAUUGGAAACUGGGAAACUUGAGUGCAGAAGAGGAGAGUGGAAUUCCACGUGUAGCGGUGAAAUGCGUAGAGAUGUGGAGGAACACCAGUGGCGAAGGCGACUCUCUGGUCUGUAACUGACGCUGAGGAGCGAAUGCGUGGGGAGCGAACAGGAUUAGAUACCCCAGUAGUCCCUGUCUCUUAUAC
This 301-nucleotide ribosomal RNA is filed under the name uncultured bacterium. RNAcentral describes it as "partial 16S ribosomal RNA". It matches the Rfam family "Bacterial small subunit ribosomal RNA", at positions 509 to 807 of the family's 1533-position model. The record is from RNAcentral.